RNAcentral lists this ribosomal RNA (497 nucleotides) under uncultured bacterium. Its description in RNAcentral is "partial 16S ribosomal RNA". It matches the Rfam family "Bacterial small subunit ribosomal RNA", at positions 28 to 507 of the family's 1533-position model. The record is from RNAcentral.
GAUGAACGCUGGCGGCGUGCCUAAUACAUGCAAGUCGAGCGAACAGACGAGGAGCUUGCUCCUCUGACGUUAGCGGCGGACGGGUGAGUAACACGUGGAUAACCUACCUAUAAGACUGGGAUAACUUCGGGAAACCGGAGCUAAUACCGGAUAACAUGUUGAACCGCAUGGUUCAACAGUGAAAGACGGUCUUGCUGUCACUUAUAGAUGGAUCCGCGCCGCAUUAGCUAGUUGGUAAGGUAACGGCUUACCAAGGCAACGAUGCGUAGCCGACCUGAGAGGGUGAUCGGCCACACUGGAACUGAGACACGGUCCAGACUCCUAAGGGAGGCAGCAGUAGGGAAUCUUCCGCAAUGGGCGAAAGCCUGACGGAGCAACGCCGCGUGAGUGAUGAAGGUCUUCGGAUCGUAAAACUCUGUUAUUAGGGAAGAACAAAUGUGUAAGUAACUAUGCACGUCUUGACGGUACCUAAUCAGAAAGCCACGGCUAACUACGUG